UUUUUUUUUUUUUUUUGGUCUUUUUGUCUUUUCUAGGGCCACACCCUUGGCAUAUGGAGGUUCCCAGGCUAGGGGUUGCAUCAGAGCUGUAGCUGCCGGCCUACACCACAGCCACAGCCACGCCAGAUCCGAGCCGCAUCUGCGAUCUACACCACAGCUCACCGUAACACCCGAUCCUUAACGCAUUGUGCGAGGCCAGGGAUCGAACCCGAAACCUCGGGGUUCCUAGUCGGGUUCGUUAACCACUGAGCUACGAUGGGAACUACUGCAAGUUUUUUUUUUAUGGGAAAAUUCAACACAGAAUUGAGCUCAACAAAGAAAGAAAGAAAAGUCGGUUGCCACGCCCCUGCACGAGAACUUUCAUAUCACAGCUCUUCCUCUCUUGCAGGAGCCUCACUUGCGCCUUGGUCGGCCUCUGUCCUCUGGCCCAAUCAGCCUUUUCUCUGCGUCCUGCUGCUUCUCCGUGAAUCCUCAUCCGAGCCACACCGACCCCCGGCACAUUCCUCCUCACUGCCUUCGCUUCGAAUCCCCUGCCCCACCUCGGCUACCCUGCCUCCCCAGCUCCAGCCUCAUCGUCAUCUCACGAGUCACUUCUGCAGCCAGGCUGCGAGAAGCAAGCCGUCCUUCCGUAUGUGGCUCUGGGGCUCCUGGGCUAGAGAUCCCAGGGCCGGGGAACAGAAUGUACUGCAAAUAAUAGCAAAAGCACUAGCAGUAAUCGUAAUACUAUAAUGACAAUAAAGACCUCAGGAACAAUACUGCUAACGGCCAGUGUCGCGUCCUCAGGCUUAUGGGCCAGAGAUCAUGCAAAUAUCCUUCCGCAGCCCGGGAGGCAGCACAGUGUGGGCUUCACAGCCUGCGUUUGGAUCUAGACGGCCUGGGUUCAAAUCUGGCUCCCCACUCUCUGGCUGGGUGACAGUGCCAUGCCGCAUUCUCCCAGCUGCGACACAGGGGUGGUAACCGUGUGUAUCUAUGGUGGCCGUGAGGACGAACUGAGUUAACACGGGUGAACACUGAAAGCAGGGCUUGGCACACGAGACGCUCUAGAUGGAUGAUCGCUGUUAUCAAAGCUCAUUAUUUUUCCUUGCAGCAGCUCUGUAAGGACGCGUUUUGCAGAAGAGGGAGGCAGCACCCUGGAAGGCAGUGGCCGCCUUAGUUACUGCUGUGCUCGGGGCCUGGAGAGCAUCAGGCUGAACAAGAAGCCUCUGUUAACUGACCUCAGGGAGAAUAUCAGAGCCUCCAACUGAUUCCCUAUCGUUCUCCUUUCAGGCGUGGUCUCCUGUCUUAGGACCAGACUCCUGAGCAGCUGGAGAUGCAGGCCCAGUGGUGGUCAAGGCUCUGAACGAGCGGCCUGGGCUCUUAGGUGUCCAGUCACCCAGUCUGUCCAUUCAACAAAUACUCCUGAGUUCCCGUGGUGGCUCAGUGGAAACGAACCCCACUAGAAUCCAUGAGGAUAUGGGUUCAAUCCCUGACCUGGCUCAAUGGCUGAAGGAUCCAACUUUGCUGUGAGCUUUGGUGUAGGUCACAGACAUGGUUCAGAUCCUGCUUUGGUGUGGCUGUGUGUAGGCCGGCAGCUGCAGCUUUGAUUUGACCCAUAGCCUGGGAACUUCCACAGGCCGAAAGUGUGGCCCUAAAAAGCACACCACCAAAACAAACACACACAAAAAUAAAUAUUCCUGAGGCUGUGAAAUAGACCACAGAAGACUUCUGUUUCCCCCAUGAUGGCGGAUGGGACAACUUCUGCAUGGCUGGAUUAAAGCACUUAAAAGCAUCUUCUCCAAGAAGGGCUGACGUCACAAGCAUCAUGGGCUUGCCCUCCUGGGAAAUCUGCCUGGAGGAUGAGGCUCUGGAAAGGCUGUGCCGUUCUCUGCAAAUUAGCGUGAUGGGAUUUAAUUCUAUGCAGAGAGCCCGGGCCCUGGAGGUGAGACCAUCACAUAAGCCAGGGCCCCUGAAGAGCUAGUCCCUCAGCGAGAGUAGAGCAGGUGGGGAAAUUCUACCUUGAGCACAAGAGCUCCCAGGAAUGCUUAUCUUUCUAGGCCACAGCUAUACGUGGGGAAGAAAACAUCUCCCUUGAGAACAUGUGGCCACAGGCUUGUUACUCAGACCAUCCAAAUGGCCCACAGACCUCCAGUCAGUAAGUGAACAGAAAAAGGUUUCCUGAGCCAGGGAAAUGCUGGCUACGAUACUCCUAAUAUUCCUAAUAGCCACAUGCCAGUGAUAUUCCUGAAAUUCUGGGCCAGGAACACCCUGAUAUCUUUGAGUCUAUAGUGCUCUGAUGGCUGAAGCCAAGAUAUACAGGAUUCAGAGUUCCCAUCGUGGCUCAGCGGUUAACAAACCUAACUAGUAUCCACGAGGUUGCAGGUUCGAUCCCUGGCCUCACUCCGUGGGGUAAGGAUACAGAUUGCCAUGAACUGUGAUGUAGGUUGCAGAUGUGGUUUGGAUCCAGCGUUGCUGUGGUGUAGGACAGCAGCUAGAGCUCUGAUUUGACCCCUAGCCUGGGAACCUCCAUAUGCUGCACAUGUGAGCUUAAAAAGACACUACUCCCAAAAAAACACAGGAUUCCCACAAAUAUAGCUCCACAGGCCAAGAAUCCUGAACACCCAAGAAAGCAAAAUGUCAUGAGUGGAUCCAUAAGACAUAAUCAGCAGAGUUAAGUUCUCAAGAAGAUCAAAUAGUAGAACUAUUGGGUAGAGACAUAAAGUAGAUUCUAAAAAAUGUCUAACUUUUAUAGAGCAUUUAUUGUGGGUCGGGUACUGCUCUAAGAGUAUUUUAUCUCUUCACUCAUUUAACCUCAAAAUCAUCUUAGACGGUUAGGCGUCAUUGUGACUUUC
Molecule: long non-coding RNA, 2828 nt
Filed under: Sus scrofa (pig)
Lineage: Eukaryota; Metazoa; Chordata; Mammalia; Artiodactyla; Suidae
Description: lncRNA (ENSSSCG00015020908.1)
Source: RNAcentral